This 464-nucleotide ribosomal RNA is filed under the name uncultured bacterium. RNAcentral describes it as "partial 16S ribosomal RNA". It matches the Rfam family "Bacterial small subunit ribosomal RNA", at positions 339 to 795 of the family's 1533-position model. The record is from RNAcentral.
CUACGGGGUGCAGCAGUGGGGAAUUUUGGACAAUGGGCGCAAGCCUGAUCCAGCUAUUCCGCGUGAGUGAAGAAGGCCUUCGGGUUGUAAAGCUCUUUCGCAAGGGAAGAAAACUUAUCCUCUAACAUAGGGUGAGGUUGACGGUACCUUGAUAAGAAGCACCGGCUAACUACGUGCCAGCAGCCGCGGUAAUACGUAGGGUGCGAGCGUUAAUCGGGAUUACUGGGCGUAAAGCGUGCGCAGGCUGUUUUGUAAGUCAGAUGUGAAAUCCCCGAGCUCAACUUGGGAACUGCGUUUGAAACUACAAGACUAGAAUAUGUCAGAGGGGGGUAGAAUUCCAUGUGUAGCAGUGAAAUGCGUAGAGAUGUGGAGGAAUACCAAUGGCGAAGGCAGCCCCCUGGGAUAAUAUUGACGCUCAUGCACGAAAGCGUGGGGAGCAAACAGGAUUAGAUACCCUUGUAGUC